Molecule: ribosomal RNA, 258 nt
Filed under: Triticum aestivum (bread wheat)
Lineage: Eukaryota; Viridiplantae; Streptophyta; Magnoliopsida; Poales; Poaceae
Description: partial small subunit ribosomal RNA
Source: RNAcentral
AUGACUGAAGAAUAUGAACUUUCUACCUAUGGUCGUCAUGAAUUGAAUUACAAUCAAAUUGCUUUAAGUCGGUUACCAAUCUCCAUAAUGGGAGAUUACACAAUUCAAACAAUUAGGAAUUCAUCAGAAGAUGCUGCUAACGCGACACUACGAUCAGAGACCCUUCGACGAAACUGUGUGCGAUGCAAUAAUCGUAAACGGUGGUGUAAAAGAACCGUCAAAAAAGGUGCAAAACAUUUGCGAUGGCGGAGCCAUUAA